Molecule: small nuclear RNA, 132 nt
Organism: Trichechus manatus latirostris (Florida manatee)
Lineage: Eukaryota; Metazoa; Chordata; Mammalia; Sirenia; Trichechidae
Source: RefSeq, a predicted model, not a curated record
GUGUCAUAGGAAAGGAGAGGAAGAUAGCCUUCUCUUUAAUAGGAAUGGAAGAGGGUCUCGUAGCCUAUACAGCACAUAUACAUACAGUCAAGGCAUUGCUACCUACUUCAUGGUUUCUGUGGUUUUACGUGU